AGAGUUUGAUCCUGGCUCAGGAUGAACGCUGGCGGCGUGCCUAAUACAUGCAAGUCGAACGCGAGCACUUGUGCUCGAGUGGCGAACGGGUGAGUAAUACAUAAGUAACCUGCCCUAGACAGGGGGAUAACUAUUGGAAACGAUAGCUAAGACCGCAUAGGUACGGACACUGCAUGGUGACCGUAUUAAAAGUGCCUCAAAGCACUGGUAGAGGAUGGACUUAUGGCGCAUUAGCUGGUUGGCGGGGUAACGGCCCACCAAGGCGACGAUGCGUAGCCGACCUGAGAGGGUGACCGGCCACACUGGGACUGAGACACGGCCCAGACUCCUACGGGAGGCAGCAGUAGGGAAUUUUCGGCAAUGGGGGAAACCCUGACCGAGCAACGCCGCGUGAAGGAAGAAGGUUUUCGGAUUGUAAACUUCUGUUAUAAAGGAAGAACGGCGGCUACAGGAAAUGGUAGCCGAGUGACGGUACUUUAUUAGAAAGCCACGGCUAACUACGUGCCAGCAGCCGCGGUAAUACGUAGGUGGCAAGCGUUAUCCGGAAUUAUUGGGCGUAAAGAGGGAGCAGGCGGCAGCAAGGGUCUGUGGUGAAAGCCUGAAGCUUAACUUCAGUAAGCCAUAGAAACCAGGCAGCUAGAGUGCAGGAGAGGAUCGUGGAAUUCCAUGUGUAGCGGUGGAAUGCGUAGAUAUAUGGAGGAACACCAGUGGCGAAGGCGACGAUCUGGCCUGCAACUGACGCUCAGUCCCGAAAGCGUGGGGAGCAAAUAGGAUUAGAUACCCUAGUAGUCCACGCCGUAAACGAU
This 806-nucleotide ribosomal RNA is filed under the name uncultured bacterium. RNAcentral describes it as "bacterial SSU rRNA". It matches the Rfam family "Bacterial small subunit ribosomal RNA", at positions 8 to 810 of the family's 1533-position model. The record is from RNAcentral.